This is a long non-coding RNA of Juglans microcarpa x Juglans regia, 171 nucleotides long. RefSeq lists it as uncharacterized. NCBI's taxonomy places the organism in Eukaryota, Viridiplantae, Streptophyta, Magnoliopsida, Fagales, Juglandaceae. The transcript is spliced from 2 exons. The record is from RefSeq and is a predicted model, not a curated record.
AUCCAUGCAGACACCAUAUGUAAGGGAUUUGUCUAGUUUUGGUCGGUUUCAGUUUCGCCAGCAGCACCAUGUCCUGGGUGACCACCAUGACCUGGUUUACCGUGUCCGUGACCGUGGCCGUGUCCGUAGCCGUGGCCAUACCCGUGGCCACCAUACUUGGCAUCCUCCACA